Molecule: ribosomal RNA, 221 nt
Filed under: uncultured bacterium
Lineage: Bacteria
Description: partial 16S ribosomal RNA
Rfam family: Bacterial small subunit ribosomal RNA
Source: RNAcentral
UAAUACGUAGGGGGCAAGCGUUGUCCGGAUUUACUGGGCGUAAAGAGCGUGUAGGCGGCCAAGCAGGUCCGUUGUGAAAACUGGAGGCUUAACCUCCAGACGUCGACGGAAACCGCGUGGCUAGAGUCCGGAAGAGGAGAGUGGAAUUCCUGGUGUAGCGGUGAAAUGCGCAGAUAUCAGGAAGAACACCAAUGGCGAAGGCAGCUCUCUGGGACGGUACU